AACGAACGCUGGCGGCAGGCCUAACACAUGCAAGUCGAGCGGACCUUUCGGGGUCAGCGGCGGACGGGUGAGUAACGCGUGGGAAUAUGCCCUUCUCUACGGAAUAGUCCUGGGAAACUGGGGGUAAUACCGUAUACGCCCUUUGGGGGAAAGAUUUAUCGGGGAAGGAUUAGCCCGCGUUGGAUUAGGUAGUUGGUGGGGUAAUGGCCUACCAAGCCGACGAUCCAUAGCUGGUUUGAGAGGAUGAUCAGCCACACUGGGACUGAGACACAGCCCAGACUCCUACGGGAGGCAGCAGUGGGGAAUCUUAGACAAUGGGGGCAACCCUGAUCUAGCCAUGCCGCGUGAGUGAUGAAGGCCUUAGGGUUGUAAAGCUCUUUCAGCUGGGAAGAUAAUGACGGUACCAGCAGAAGAAGCCCCGGCUAACUCCGUG
This 433-nucleotide ribosomal RNA is filed under the name uncultured bacterium. Its description in RNAcentral is "partial 16S ribosomal RNA". It matches the Rfam family "Bacterial small subunit ribosomal RNA", at positions 29 to 507 of the family's 1533-position model. The record is from RNAcentral.